Long non-coding RNA from Eleginops maclovinus (Patagonian blennie), 1676 nucleotides. RefSeq lists it as uncharacterized. The record is from RefSeq and is a predicted model, not a curated record. NCBI's taxonomy places the organism in Eukaryota, Metazoa, Chordata, Actinopteri, Perciformes, Eleginopidae. The transcript has 3 exons.
GUUAUCUGAAAAGAACUGUUGCGGUAGAAUAAAACGGACAUUUCUUGCUGAGUCUCGUUUGAUAAAGGGGGAAGUUAAUGUGCUAACUGCUAAGCUAAUAUCGUUGAGUCGCUGGAUCAGGGAUACCGUUGCUUCCCGGAAAUGACGUUGUACGUGUAGGAUUGUUUAGUUUUUUGGGACGAGGACUUCAUCUCUGCUGUCUGCUGGUUUCAUCUAUAGGACCACACACUGUUCCUCAAGGAAUGACACUCCACUUUGAGGCCAGGGCCGUGUGCUGUCACCAUGCCGGGGUCUCCAACCAGCCCCGGGUCUCCCACUCGCACGUUGAAGGGGCUUCCAGGAAUGUGGCAUCCGUUGAACUUGACAUCUAUGGCAUGAACGCCGUUCUCUCGUGGAAUGAAGCGGAUUACAUUCUUGUCUGAACACAACACAAAAAACAACUGGGGAGAUCGGUGCGUACCGCUGUCAAGCUCAGUGACAUAGCAUUCUUCAGAAGAGCCGGAGGGGGUGUGAACUUUGGCGUCAACGACACCUCGAGCCCCAUUGCGUUGCACCAUGAAGGAUGCCUCUUGAUUUACCUUCAAGUCCUUCUCCUGCAAAAGACAGGGAAGAAUAUGAUCAGAAAAUAUGUGCGUGCAUGUGUGUGUGCCCGCAUCUCUAGGGACACAAAGUGUGUGACUCAUCGUGCCUGAACUAGAAUAGAUUUAACGGUUGGGUGUAAGAGGCAGAAAAGGUCAGAGUUUACAGCGAGGCGUUUAGUGUUUUUGCCCUACAGGCGUACGAGCUGUCCUGCCUGACAUAAGAGGCAGUGUGACAUUGUAAACGUUGGUCUGAUAUUGCACUUCAUCCGGCUUCAAGUGGUAGAAAAGCACUCUGAAGAGGCAUUUCAGUCAGGUAAAAAUAUAUGUUUGCAGCAUUGUUGGCAAUUGUAAUGGAAACUGAAAGCAAAUAAAACAAGCAUCUGUAACGCAGAGAGCAAUAUUGUGAGCUGUCACAGAUAUCUAUAAAGAAGUCAUUAUCUUGCACUUGCUGUUUUCUUGCCUUUCUCCUCUCAGUUAGAGACACAAUUGAAAACACAGACACAGAAUCACUAAGACUCGCUGCCCGCCCACACAUAGCACAGCUUGUGAUGCCCAACAUUAGCAAGGGACAGUUAAUCCAGCCCUUCAUCACUGGCCAGCAUCACAGUAUUAUAGCUCCAGCUCUGGCAUUAAAUUACGCUUCAAGGGCGAAUGCUAUUAGACAGAACUAUCUACAGCCACUCUAACCAUGUAACAUACAACCUGUUUUUUUACACCUGAUAUUUUGUGCAUGUGCUGUGUCUGCUUUUAAUGCUAAUGUGGCUUUGGUUCACUUUGUGCGUGUGUGUGUGUGUAAUCUUACCUGAACGCUAGUAACAGUGAGCCUGCUGGCCUCGUCUGACAGUGUAGCGAUUGGAACGAUGAAUGGACUGUCAGGGAUGUGCUCGUUGUUGAACUUGAUUGACACCUCGUAGUCACCUGGGGAACAGACAGAUUAUUUACUUUCACCAACAAAAGAACUGUAAGGAAGUAUGAAAGAAGUACUGAAAAGGUUAGCAGCUUAGAGACAAAAAGCACUUGGAAACAACUUAAAAUCAGGGACCUUCUUCUCUUGGGGGCAACAAAUGUUUUACCUGGUUCUUUCACUAUGUAGGA